This 499-nucleotide ribosomal RNA is filed under the name uncultured bacterium. RNAcentral's name for it is "partial 16S ribosomal RNA". It matches the Rfam family "Bacterial small subunit ribosomal RNA", at positions 29 to 507 of the family's 1533-position model. The record is from RNAcentral.
AGUGAACGCUGGCGGUAUGCCUAACACAUGCAAGUCGAACGGCAGCACAGUAAGAGCUUGCCCUUACGGACGGCGAGUGGCAGGGGGGUGUGGAAUACAUCGGACUCUCCUCUUACGUGGGGGCUAACGUAGGGAAACUUACGCUAAUACCGCAUACGACCUACGUGUGAAGAGAGGGAUUUUUCGGCUCUUUCUGCUAACACUAUGCGAUGGCGGUGUUGUGUAUUAGCUAGGUGGAGGGGUAAAGGCCCACCAAGGCGACGGUGCGUAGCCGAGCUGAGAGGGUGAUCGGCCACACUGGGACUGAGACACGGCCCAGACUCCUACGGGAGGCAGCAGUGGGGAAUCUUCGGCAAUGGGCGAAAGCCUGAAGCAGCAACGCCGCGUGGGUGAAGAAGGACUUCGGGUUUUAAAGCCCUUUUGUUAGGGAAGAAAAGCUAUCGGGUAACUACCCCUCUAUUCGACGGUACCCAAACAAAAAGCCACGGCUAACUUCGUG